Molecule: non-coding RNA, 45 nt
Filed under: Schistosoma mattheei
Lineage: Eukaryota; Metazoa; Platyhelminthes; Trematoda; Strigeidida; Schistosomatidae
Source: RNAcentral
AUCCAACUAACAAGUCCCGAAUAGGACGAAAUACGUAUCCCGGAU